Molecule: ribosomal RNA, 474 nt
Filed under: uncultured bacterium
Lineage: Bacteria
Description: bacterial SSU rRNA
Rfam family: Bacterial small subunit ribosomal RNA
Source: RNAcentral
GACGAACGCUGGCGGCGUGCCUAACACAUGCAAGUCGAACGAAGCUCGAAGCUCUGAGAUUUCGGUCAAGGAGCCUAGAUGACUUAGUGGCGAACGGGUGAGUAAUGCGUGAGCAACCUGCCUUUCAGAGGGGGACAACAGUUGGAAACGACUGCUAAUACCGCAUAAUAUACCUGGGUGGCAUCACUUGGGUAUCAAAGGAGCAAUCCGCUGAAAGAUGGGCUCACGUCUGAUUAGCUAGAUGGCAGGGUAACGGCCUACCAUGGCGACGAUCAGUAGCCGGUCUGAGAGGAUGAACGGCCACAUUGGGACUGAGAUACGGCCCAGACUCCUACGGGAGGCAGCAGUGGGGAAUAUUGGGCAAUGGGCGAAAGCCUGACCCAGCAACGCCGCGUGAAGGAAGAAGGCUUUCGGGUUGUAAACUUCUUUUAUCAGGGACGAAGGAUGUGACGGUACCUGAUGAAUAAGCCACGG